RNAcentral lists this transfer RNA (73 nucleotides) under Rubrobacter sp. RNAcentral describes it as "tRNA-Ala". It matches the Rfam family "tRNA". Rfam says of the family: Transfer RNA (tRNA) molecules are approximately 80 nucleotides in length. Their secondary structure includes four short double-helical elements and three loops (D, anti-codon, and T loops). The record is from RNAcentral. Lineage: Bacteria; Bacillati; Actinomycetota; Rubrobacteria; Rubrobacterales; Rubrobacteraceae.
GGGCCCGUAGCUCAGAUGGGAGAGUGCCGCCCUCGCAUGGCGGAGGUCACGAGUUCGAGUCUCGUCGGGUCCA